UACGUAGGGUGCGAGCGUUAAUCGGAAUUACUGGGCGUAAAGCGUGCGCAGGCGGUUCUCCAAGUCCGUUGUGAAAGCCCCGGGCUCAACCUGGGAAUGGCAGUGGAAACUAGGGGACUGGAAUCUGGCAGAGGGGGGUGGAAUGCCGCGUGUAGCAGUGAAAUGCGUAGAGAUGCGGAGGAACACCGAUGGCGAAGGCAGCCCCCUGGGCUAACACUGACGCUCAGGCACGAAAGCGUGGGGAGCAAACAGGAUUAGAA
RNAcentral lists this ribosomal RNA (260 nucleotides) under uncultured bacterium. RNAcentral's name for it is "partial 16S ribosomal RNA". It matches the Rfam family "Bacterial small subunit ribosomal RNA", at positions 524 to 783 of the family's 1533-position model. The record is from RNAcentral.